GUAUGUAUUCUGUUUCUAGAAUAAAUAGAUACCAUGGGAAUACAAAAACCAAAAGACAUGAUCAUUAACUUCAAAGACUUUAUAAUAUAGCAGAGAGAGAAAAUUAACAUUCAUGAAGGAAUUAUGGAAUGGUUGAGUGGUGAACUUAUUAUAAAUAGAGGUUUCAGAUAGAAAAAGUGUUCUAUGAUUAAAAUUCUUGGCAGUCUAAGCUGUUGCAAAGCAGAGGCCACGGAUGACCGUAGGCCUGAUCGG
RNAcentral lists this long non-coding RNA (252 nucleotides) under Bos taurus (domestic cattle). RNAcentral describes it as "long non-coding RNA NONBTAT004115". The record is from RNAcentral. Lineage: Eukaryota; Metazoa; Chordata; Mammalia; Artiodactyla; Bovidae.